Molecule: long non-coding RNA, 469 nt
Filed under: Nicotiana benthamiana
Lineage: Eukaryota; Viridiplantae; Streptophyta; Magnoliopsida; Solanales; Solanaceae
Description: long non-coding RNA (NBEN_LNC012037)
Source: RNAcentral
AUCAAAAUUAUCACCUUGAGAACCCCGGAACUCCGUCCACAAUUUAAGAGCUGUUAAGCCAGCAGCUCUUUUAGAUGAUUGUGAUGUACCCCUGAACUCCGUCCACGAUUUAAGAGCUAUUAAUCCAGCAGCUCUUUUAGACGAUUGUGAUGUAGAUGAAGCAGGGGUUGGAAUAUUUGGCCUAGCAUGCUCUAACGCCUAUUAAUAAGCAUUAUAAACAGCUUGAGCAUUAAUUUUAAUUGAUUCUUUCGCAUAAGCUAGUGUAGCAAUUUCGUCUUCUGAAAGAUCUAAAGCUCUAUAAAUAUUAGAAUAUCAAAAGUGAGGACCUCCACAUUUCAUUGUUGGAUUUAACAUAGCAGCUACACCAAAAAUAGGAGGGAUUGGAAAAAAAUAUUUUUUAAACUUUGUUUCAUUUCAUUUAUUUCAAGUUCAUAAAUAUCCCCACCCUCGCUAAAAUCAACAAACANNN